This is a small nucleolar RNA of Capsella rubella, 107 nucleotides long. It matches the Rfam family "Plant small nucleolar RNA R71". Rfam says of the family: R71 is a member of the C/D box family of snoRNAs containing the C (UGAUGA) and D (CUGA) box motifs. Multiple nearly identical copies of this snoRNA have been identified in Arabidopsis, and it is thought to function as a 2'-O-ribose methylation guide for 18S ribosomal RNA. NCBI's taxonomy places the organism in Eukaryota, Viridiplantae, Streptophyta, Magnoliopsida, Brassicales, Brassicaceae. The record is from Rfam.
AAGCCUUGAUGGAUACAUUGCGAUUGAUAUCCCUUGAAACGCUCUCAAGCCUCACAAAAGGUCUCGUUGUUCUUCUGAGCAAAGCUGGAUAUGUCAUUCUCGAGACA